CUAAGAGCGAAUGGUGGAUGCCUUGACUGGUAAAGGCGAUGAAGGACGUACUAGACUGCGAUAAGCUACGGGGAGCUGUCAAGAAGCUUUGAUCCGUAGAUUUCCGAAUGGGGCAACCCAAUGUAUAGAGAUAUACAUUACCUAUAUAGGAGCGAACGAGGGGAAUUGAAACAUCUUAGUACCCUCAGGAAAAGAAAUCAAUAGAGAUUGCGUCAGUAGCGGCGAGCGAAAGCGCAAGAGGGCAAACCCAGUGCUUGCACUGGGGGUUGUAGGACUGCAAUGUGCAAGAGGUGAGUUUAGCAGAACAUUCUGGAAAGUAUAGCCAUAGAGGGUGAUAGUCCCGUAUGCGAAAAACAAACCUUAGCUAGCAGUAUCCUGAGUAGGGCGGGACACGAGAAAUCCUGUCUGAAGCUGGGUCGACCACGAUCCAACCCUAAAUACUAAUACCAGAUCGAUAGUGCACAAGUACCGUGAGGGAAAGGUGAAAAGAACUGAGGUGAUCAGAGUGAAAUAGAACCUGAAACCAUUUGCUUACAAUCAUUCAGAGCACUAUGUAGCAAUACAGUGUGAUGGACUGCCUUUUGCAUAAUGAGCCUGCGAGUUGUGGUGUCUGGCAAGGUUAAGCAAACGCGAAGCCGUAGCGAAAGCGAGUCUGAAUAGGGCGCUUAGUCAGAUGCUGCAGACCCGAAACGAAGUGAUCUAUCCAUGAGCAAGUUGAAGCUAGUGUAAGAACUAGUGGAGGACUGAACCCAUAGGCGUUGAAAAGCCCCGGGAUGACUUGUGGAUAGGGGUGAAAGGCCAAUCAAACUUCGUGAUAGCUGGUUCUCUCCGAAAUAUAUUUAGGUAUAGCGUUGUGUCGUAAUAUAAGGGGGUAGAGCACUGAAUGGGCUAGGGCAUACACCAAUGUACCAAACCCUAUCAAACUCCGAAUACCUUAUAUGUAAUCACAGCAGUCAGGCGGCGAGUGAUAAAAUCCGUCGUCAAGAGGGAAACAACCCAGACUACCAGCUAAGGUCCCUAAAUCUUACUUAAGUGGAAAACGAUGUGAAGUUACUUAAACAACCAGGAGGUUGGCUUAGAAGCAGCCAUCCUUUAAAGAAAGCGUAAUAGCUCACUGGUCUAGUGAUUUUGCGCGGAAAAUAUAACGGGGCUAAAGUAAGUACCGAAGCUGUAGACUUGACUUUGUCAAGUGGUAGGAGAGCGUUCUAUUUGCGCCGAAGGUAUACCGGUAAGGAGUGCUGGAGCGAAUAGAAGUGAGCAUGCAGGCAUGAGUAGCGAUAAUUAAUGUGAGAAUCAUUAACGCCGUAAACCCAAGGUUUCCUACGCGAUGCUCGUCAUCGUAGGGUUAGUCGGGUCCUAAGUCGAGUCCGAAAGGGGUAGACGAUGGCAAAUUGGUUAAUAUUCCAAUACCAACAUUAGUGUGCGAUGGAAGGACGCUUAGGGCUAAGGGGGCUAGCGGAUGGAAGUGCUAGUCUAAGGUCGUAGGUGCUUAUACAGGCAAAUCCGUAUAAGAAUACACCGAGAACUGAAAGGCUUUUUGAAGUCUUCGGAUGGAUAGAAGAACCCCUGAUGCCGUCGAGCCAAGAAAAGUUUCUAAGUUUAGCUAAUGUUGCCCGUACCGUAAACCGACACAGGUGGGUGGGAUGAGUAUUCUAAGGCGCGUGGAAGAACUCUCUUUAAGGAACUCUGCAAAAUAGCACCGUAUCUUCGGUAUAAGGUGUGGUUCGCUUCGUAUUAGGAUUUACUCCGAAAGCGAAGAAACUUACAACAAAGAGUCCCUCCCGACUGUUUACCAAAAACACAGCACUCUGCUAACUCGUAAGAGGAUGUAUAGGGUGUGACGCCUGCCCGGUGCUCGAAGGUUAAUUGAUGGGGUUAGCAUUAGCGAAGCUCUUGAUCGAAGCCCGAGUAAACGGCGGCCGUAACUAUAACGGUCCUAAGGUAGCGAAAUUCCUUGUCGGUUAAAUACCGACCUGCAUGAAUGGCGUAACGAGAUGGGAGCUGUCUCAAAGAGGGAUCCAGUGAAAUUGUAGUGGAGGUGAAAAUUCCUCCUACCCGCGGCAAGACGGAAAGACCCCGUGGACCUUUACUACAGCUUGACACUGCUAUUUGGAUAAGAAUGUGCAGGAUAGGUGGGAGGCUUUGAGUAUAUGACGCCAGUUGUAUAUGAGCCAUUGUUGAGAUACCACUCUUUCUUAUUUGGGUAGCUAACCAGCUUGAGUUAUCCUCAAGUGGGACAAUGUCUGGUGGGUAGUUUGACUGGGGCGGUCGCCUCCCAAAUAAUAACGGAGGCUUACAAAGGUUGGCUCAGAACGGUUGGAAAUCGUUCGUAGAGUAUAAAGGUAUAAGCCAGCUUAACUGCAAGACAUACAAGUCAAGCAGAGACGAAAGUCGGUCUUAGUGAUCCGGUGGUUCUGUGUGGAAGGGCCAUCGCUCAAAGGAUAAAAGGUACCCCGGGGAUAACAGGCUGAUCUCCCCCAAGAGCUCACAUCGACGGGGAGGUUUGGCACCUCGAUGUCGGCUCAUCGCAUCCUGGGGCUGGAGCAGGUCCCAAGGGUAUGGCUGUUCGCCAUUUAAAGCGGUACGCGAGCUGGGUUCAGAACGUCGUGAGACAGUUCGGUCCCUAUCUGCCGUGGGCGUAAGAAGAUUGAAGAGAUUUGACCCUAGUACGAGAGGACCGGGUUGAACAAACCACUGGUGUAGCUGUUGUUCUGCCAAGAGCAUCGCAGCGUAGCUAAGUUUGGAAAGGAUAAACGCUGAAAGCAUCUAAGCGUGAAGCCAACUCUAAGAUGAAUCUUCUCUAAGCUCUCUAGAAGACUACUAGUUUGAUAGGCUGGGUGUGUAAUGGAUGAAAGUCCUUUAGCUGACCAGUACUAAUAGAGCGUUUGGCUUAUCUUUA
RNAcentral lists this ribosomal RNA (2899 nucleotides) under Campylobacter coli. RNAcentral's name for it is "bacterial LSU rRNA". It matches the Rfam family "Bacterial large subunit ribosomal RNA". Lineage: Bacteria; Pseudomonadati; Campylobacterota; Epsilonproteobacteria; Campylobacterales; Campylobacteraceae. The record is from RNAcentral.